RNAcentral lists this long non-coding RNA (377 nucleotides) under Androctonus crassicauda. Lineage: Eukaryota; Metazoa; Arthropoda; Arachnida; Scorpiones; Buthidae. The record is from RNAcentral.
UGGUGAAGGAUGGGGAUCACCAGGCAGGCCCAGAACUCCAAAAAAACUUUUCAGAAGAUUCUGUGCCAUACAGGAGGACCUGGGUCCUCCUGUGUGGCAAAGAAUCUUUUGAAAAUUACCAUGCAGCUAUCCAACUGCCUUAUACAGAGCAUACUACUGCAAUCACAUGUCCUGAUCUGUUUCGGAGUGGUCUGUGGUUGCUUCGAGGUUCCCGGAAUGUGUAUUGGUUUUGGUGAGUUGCCCUCAAUGCGUUGCGGUUGCCUCUUGAUAGCCGCAGAGUGAAAUAAUGUUGAGCACUGGUGUUUGGUCGUUUGGAACUGGCCGCAGUGCAUUGUGGCUGUUUUUUUUGGUGGUUGUGUGGUUUCAGUGUUUGGGAG